This is a non-coding RNA of Labrus bergylta (ballan wrasse), 374 nucleotides long. NCBI's taxonomy places the organism in Eukaryota, Metazoa, Chordata, Actinopteri, Labriformes, Labridae. The record is from RefSeq and is a predicted model, not a curated record.
GUGUGUGUGUGUGUGUGUGUGUGUGUGUGUGUUACAGUGCAGGCUGUGGGAGGACUGGAGUCAUCUGUGCUCUCGACUACAUCCAUGACCUGCUGGUUACCGAGCAGAUCUCUGCAGACUUCAGCAUCAUGAGGAUCGUUCUGGAGAUCCGGACUCAGAGACCGUCGGCUGUUCAAACUAAAGAGCAGUAUCGCUUCAUCUUCACCGCCGUCGCCUGUCUGUUCGAACGAGUCCUCCAAUCACGCCGGCUUUCACUCUACUGCAACCUGCCAGAGCAGAAAAAACAAGAGAAGAAAAGAAUAAAAACACCUGCUUCACCCAACAACAGGUAAUCUGUCUGUCUGUCUGUCUGUCUGUCUGUGUGUCUGUCUGCC